AGGUCCUCACUCCCCACCACCCUCCCGCCUGCCCAGCAAGCUGCUCUAACAAAAGGUCAGGGCUGGAGAGAGGGUGGUGUGUUUAUUUCCUGUCUCCAUGGCACUGGUCUGCAGUGUGGGGUGAGCUGGGAGGAGCGCCCGCGCCACCGCCCCGCUGAUGUUAUCAGCAGUCAUCAGAAUGACUCCUGUCCACGCUGUCCAUCCUUCCUCCCUCCCACACCCACACUCCACAGACCCCGGCCCAGGCUCCUCCGUGGGUCUCCUGGUUUUGCUCGUGGUGUGUCUCUGUGAUCCCCAGCACGAAGAGAGGCAGCUGAAGCAACUGGCAUCCGUGGCAGAGCAGCUCACAGAAGCAGCUCAUGGACUCUGGCUGUGAUAAUAAAGCUGCAGUGAACAUCUGUGCGGAAGCCUUUGUGUGGACACGUGGUAUUUCCCUCGCUCUUUGUGCACACGUAAACUAUUAAACUACAUGCAUGAAGCUGUCACCAUGGAACCCACCGAGUUGCCUUGGCUACAUCCCUUCCUCCCAAACCCCCGUCACUAUUCCUUGGCCACCCGCUGCCACAGGCCUUGACCUCGCCAAGGGCCUUCGCCAGUGACGCUGGGAUGGCCCAGAGCUCAGGAAAGCCCUGCCGGAAACAG
Long non-coding RNA from Chinchilla lanigera (long-tailed chinchilla), 642 nucleotides. RefSeq lists it as uncharacterized. The record is from RefSeq and is a predicted model, not a curated record. The transcript is spliced from 3 exons. NCBI's taxonomy places the organism in Eukaryota, Metazoa, Chordata, Mammalia, Rodentia, Chinchillidae.